UACGUAGGCAGCAAGCGUUGUUCGGAGUUACUGGGCGUAAAGGGUGCGUAGGCGGUUGUUUAAGUUUGGUGUGAAAUCUCCCGGCUCAACUGGGAGGGUGCGCCGAAUACUGAAUGACUAGAGUGCGGGAGAGGAGAGUGGAAUUCCUGGUGUAGCGGUGAAAUGCGUAGAUAUCAGGAGGAACACCGGUGGUGUAGACGGCUCUCUGGACCGUAACUGACGCUGAGGCACGAAAGCGUGGGGAGCAAACGGG
This 253-nucleotide ribosomal RNA is filed under the name uncultured bacterium. Its description in RNAcentral is "partial 16S ribosomal RNA". It matches the Rfam family "Bacterial small subunit ribosomal RNA", at positions 524 to 776 of the family's 1533-position model. The record is from RNAcentral.